Molecule: transfer RNA, 67 nt
Filed under: Parmaturus xaniurus
Lineage: Eukaryota; Metazoa; Chordata; Chondrichthyes; Carcharhiniformes; Scyliorhinidae
Description: tRNA-Cys
Rfam family: tRNA
About the family: Transfer RNA (tRNA) molecules are approximately 80 nucleotides in length. Their secondary structure includes four short double-helical elements and three loops (D, anti-codon, and T loops).
Source: RNAcentral
AGCCCCGAAGUAUUAUUUACGUUGGAUUGCAAAUCCAAAGAAGGAGGUUGAUACCCUCCCGGGGCUU